GAUGAACGCUGGCGGCGUGCCCAAUACAUGCAAGUCGAGCGAACAGACGAGGAGCUUGCUCCUCUGACGUUAGCGGCGGACGGGUGAGUAACACGUGGAUAACCUACCUAUAAGACUGGGAUAACUUCGGGAGACCGGAGCUAAUACCGGAUAAUAUAUUGAACCGCAUGGUUCAAUAGUGAAAGACGGUUUUGCUGUCACUUAUAGAUUGAUCCGCGCCGCAUUAGCUAGUUGGUAAGGUAACGGCUUACCAAGGCAACGAUGCGUAGCCGACCUGAGAGGGUGAUCGGCCACACUGGAACUGAGACACGGUCCAGACUCCUACGGGAGGCAGCAGUAGGGAAUCUUCCGCAAUGGGCGAAAGCUUGACGGAGCAACGCCGCGUGAGUGAUGAAGGUCUUCGGAUCGUAAAACUCUGUUAUUAGGGAAGAACAAAUGUGUAAGUAACUAUGCACGUCUUGACGGUACCUAAUCAGAAAGCCACGGCUAACUACGUG
Molecule: ribosomal RNA, 497 nt
Filed under: uncultured bacterium
Lineage: Bacteria
Description: partial 16S ribosomal RNA
Rfam family: Bacterial small subunit ribosomal RNA
Source: RNAcentral